Molecule: long non-coding RNA, 3114 nt
Organism: Mirounga angustirostris (Northern elephant seal)
Lineage: Eukaryota; Metazoa; Chordata; Mammalia; Carnivora; Phocidae
Exons: 5
Source: RefSeq, a predicted model, not a curated record
ACCUGAGCCGAAGGCAGACGCCUAAUGACUGAGCCACCCAGGUGCCCCUACUGUCUGUAGAUUUUUGAAAAUGGUUACAGGUACACAGGUAACCAAAGUAUAGAGCUUGUUUGGUGAAUCUUCAUCCUAGUUACAUUUUCUGGACAACGACACAUGGAUAUAGUAUGGACCAUUCCUUAUUCCUUUGGCCCAGACAGCUUUGUGGAGCCUGGUGUCAGUGUGCACAUCUGGAAUUCCCAUCUCCUUCAUGGCAAAUUUCUGGAUCUCUUUGGGGCAUGCUUCUUGAAACCCACUCCAUGGAUGUGCUUGUGGAUAUUGAUGGUGUAUUCUCUCAUCACUACCUCAUUGAUGGCAGAAUGGCUCUUCUUCUUCUUGCCACCCUUCUUUGCAGGAGCCAUUCUGCUGGGCUCAAGUUGGAGAGGAAAGAUAGAAACUUAAAUUUGAUUGUGGGGCACCUGGGUGGCUCAGUCAGAUAAGCGUCUGCCUUUGGCUCAGGUCAUGAUCCUGGGAUCCUGGGAUCGAGCCCCGAAUCGGGCUCCCUGCUCAGCAGGGAUCCUGCUUCUCCCUCUCCCUCUGAUCCUCCCCCCAUUCAUGCUGUCUCUCUCUCUCAAAUAAAUAAAUAAAUACAUCUUAAAAAAAUUAAAAAAAUAAAUUUGGUUGCAUACAAAAACUCUACUCUUUCAUUCCCCCUCAUUUUUUGGUUUUGAUGUCACAAUUUAUAUCUUUUUUAUAGUGUGUAUCCAUUAACAAAUUAUUGUAGCUAUAAGCUACAACAAUUAUAAGCUUUAAUAUUUUUGUGCUUUAACAGACAUAAGCUUUGAUACUUUUGUCCUUUCACCUUUAUACUGGAAUUAAGUGAUUGACACACUAUCAUAUUAUAAUAUUAGACUAUUCUGAAUUUGACUGUAUAGUUACCUUUACCAAUGUAUAUUUUAAUAUAUUUUCAGGUUAUUAAUUAGUGUCCUUUCAUUUCAGCUUGAAGACAUCUCUCAGUAUUUCUUAUAAGGUGCAGCAGGUGGACGGACUUAGGGAGCUGUUCAGUAUCAAGGAAAUGUUUGGGCCAGGACCGUCCCAUUUCGGGGUGGUACAAGAAAUCCACAGAUUGUCUUCCACUUAGACGCAUGACAGAUCUGUGCUGAAUGCAUACCACCUACCCAGCAGACACAGCCUCAGUGAUCUAAUCAUGGAGACAGAGUUCAGCAGAGGUGCAGCUCUUGCCUAUGGACACAUGUUGCAAAGGACCGGAAGGCGGAUGUUUCCUGGGCCACAGCCUGGCUAUUUCGAGGGUUCCUGUUGUCCCAGCUGAUGCCUUCUCUGGGAGUGGACCUUCAGCUCUGGAAAGGAGCAAGCCCGAAAUUUUUUUAUUUAUUUUUGACAGAGAGAGAGAGCACAAGCAGGGGGAACAGCAGAGAGAGAGGGAGAAGCAGACUCCCUGCUGGAACAGGGAGCCCGAUGCGGGGCUCGAUCCCAGGACCCGGACCCUGGGACCAUGACCUGAGCCGGAGGCAGACGCUUAACGACUGAGCCACCCAGGCGCCCCCGUUUUUCCUGUCUUACAUGCAUAUAUGGUGCCUGGAGUUAUAGCUGCCAUCUUGGAGCCAUGAUAGAAAGGCCGAGAAUCACACAGACAGUAGCCUUACAUUUCUGAGCUACUGAGCCCCUGCGAGCAACCACUAACCUUCAGACUUCUAGUAAGAUAAAUCCAUCCCUGUUUGAAACACAAAUCAAAACCACGAUGAGAUACCACCUCACACCAGUCAGAAUGGCUAAAAUUAACAAGUCAGGAAACAACAGAUGCUGGUGAGGAUGUGGAGAAAGGGGAACCCUCCUACACUGUUGGUGGAAAUGCAAGCUCGUGCAGUAACUCUGGAAAACAGUAUGGAGGUUCCUCAAAAAGCUAAAAAUAGAACUACUCUAUGAUCCAGCAAUUGUACUCCUGGAUAUUUACCCAAAGGAUACAAAAAUAUACACUCAAAGCUGUGUAUGUCUGAAGCUUAUAGGAGCAUUAUCAACAAUAGCCAAACUAUGGAAAGAGCCCAAAUGUCCAUCAACUGAUGAAUGGAUAAAGAAGAUGUGGUAUAUAUAUACAUUGGAAUAUUACUCAGCCAUCAAAAAGAAUGAAAUCUUGCCAUUUGUAACGAUGUGGAUGGAACUAGAGAGUAUUAUGCUAAGCGAAAUAAGUCAGAUGGAUAAAGACAAAUACCAUAUGACUUCACUCAUAUGUGGAAUUUAAGAAACAAAGCAGAUGAACAUUCCGGGGGGAAGAGAGAGAGGGAAACAAAUCAUAAGAGACUCUUAACUAUAGAGAACAAAAAUUGAGAGUUGAUGGAGGGAGGUGGGUGGGGGAUAGAUGGGUGAUGGGCAUUAAGGAGGGCACUUGUUAUGAUUAGAACAGGAUGUUACAUGUAAAUGAUGAACCAUUGAACUCUAUUUCUGAAACUGACACUCAACUGUUAUGUCAACUAACGAGAAUUUAAAUAUUUAAAUAAAAGAAAAAAAAAACGAUAAAUCCAUCCCUGUUCCUUUAAGCCACUUUGGUUGGGUUUUCUAUUAUUUGAAGUUGACCUCAAUCCUAUCUGAAAUGCAUCAUCUAAAAGACUUCAUAUGGCCCAAUAGACAUAGAUGCACAUCCUUGUCGGUCAUCUUUCCUACAGACUGAACCCUACAUAAUUCCCCAGCAAGACACUGAAUGUUGCCUACACUUUCCUGUGUGGUCUCAACUGUAGUAACACUGUCUCUGUAAAUGCAUUUAUGCUUGUGAAACCACAUGUCCUGGUGUGUGUGUGUGUGUGUAUGUGUGUGUGUGUGUGGUGGGAAGACAAUAAUAAAAUUAGUUUCUCUUAGUUCAAUAUUAGUUGGAAGAAUAAAGUUACUGCACCUUCCCAUGUUAGCUUCUUCACAAGACAGAUUUUUCAGCUAUAGUCCAGCUCAUCUGCUCCUCUUAAGUCCCUCUGCCAGAAACACAAAGGACGGGCAGAAGUACACUGAAUGGGGUGAACAAACGGAGCUUCUAUAAAUAAGAAGUAGCUUCUAUAAAACAGUGGUUCUAACUCCAGAAGUUUCUUUAUAAUCGCAGCUCAGUUCAUGCACAAUAUUUUUAAUGAGACUCAGUUU